Serinus canaria (Common canary) is the source of this 3699-nucleotide long non-coding RNA. RefSeq lists it as uncharacterized. Lineage: Eukaryota; Metazoa; Chordata; Aves; Passeriformes; Fringillidae. The record is from RefSeq and is a predicted model, not a curated record. The transcript is spliced from 2 exons.
GCCACACUUCUGCUUUCUGCUAAAAGAGAGAAUGGAUUUGAAUUAAUCAUUUAUCCAGAGAUUCUGCAGAGUUGAUGUCAUUUUCAUGAAGACACUAUGUUCUGAUUAAAAAGAGUGGCCUUCAGCCGCCAUUAACUGCAAAGUGAUUUGGCAAGUCCUGCUGUCACCUGCAUUCCCCUGGCAUUCCAUCUGGUGAAGAACUUGAUGUGGCAGCAGCCCCUGCACAGCAAGAGGAAAACACAGGUUAUCAGGAUUUAUAAAUAAGCAGUUAAAAUGUUUUUCCAUUCAGUAAGCACUGGUAUAUUGUCAUGAUUUAGGAAUGUUAGUCAGUUCAGUGCCCCACUGAGGCUCUCCCAAACUGUGCACAGUUUUUGAUCAUGCCAGAGGCUGAUGCACCGUAAGGAAUAUGAUACCUACUCAAUACUAUGCUUUGGCCCAGAGGUCUAUGAGACUACUUUUGAAAUUAAUCCCAUUGUCUGACUCAGCUCUUUCUGGGGUUCCAUGUCACCACAGGCCUUGCUUUUCAAGACCCAAGAUGGUGUUUGGGCAUAGAGUACAUCUGCAGCCAUCCUGUAGUGGAUUCCACCCUUGUCUGCACAUAGCGCUUGCUUUCACAGUUUUGUGGGAGUGCAGUCUGACUAGCCAGGCCUCCCCAUAUUUGUACUUUGGGCAUUGUACCCCAUACCACAGAGGCUUUACUCAGCCUGCUUGAUUGCAGUGCAUGUUUCACAGCUAAUAAUAAGGAUAAUCUGGGAAAUAUUGUCCUUGGUUAAGUCCACCCCUCAGUCCCGAGCCCAUCUGUAUUGUUGCAUCUCUUCUCUGAUGACCUGAAGUAUCGUGGGCCCAAUGAGCCACAAGAAAUUCACCCUUAUGUUGCUAGUCCACAUAUACCUGAGACACUGUAAUCUUGGCAACGCAAUCCACCUGUCCAUUGUUGUGAUGUUCUUCAGUAGCCCAGCUCACAAGUGCGUGUGCAUCUACGUGAUGUGCUUUUACAGCCAACUUUUCUCUCCAAGCAGUGAUGUCUUGUCAAUCUUCAGCAGCCCAGACGGGUUAACCUCUUUUCUACUAAUUUAUGUUUUUCUAUUGAUCCAGCCACCCCUACAGAGCAUUUGCUUCUGUUCAUUGGUCAGUGUAGAGGUAGGGCUCUGGCCAUUUCUUUUGUUGAGUGAUAUCUAAAGCCAUCUGGAUGGCUUUCCGGCGUGCAAAUUGACUUGAUCCACCUUGUCCUGUCAUGCAGUACUCCAUGUAGCAGUUAACUAUUUUUUAUUUAUCCCCAAGGUACAGCAGGAACUGUCAGUGAUGAAGCCAUUUUCCUUUUUCUGGUAGCUGACUAUAUGGUGGGGCCUCCUCAAUACGUCACCCUUUCGUCCUCCUCUGUUGAUGAUAGUCCAAAAUGUUUGGCUUCCUUGAUUUCCAAGAUCCCUGGGUGAUUGGUAUUUCCUACUGAGCUUGCUGGGUGGUCAUCACAACUCACUUAAUCCUUGUAGCAUCAGUGCCAUGAUGUGUGUCAGGGACAUUCUCUUUGAACAUCCAGCCUAGCACUGGCAUUCAGGGUGCCAGAAGGAGCUGUGCUUUGGUGCCAGUUACUUCCAAAGCACCUUAAAACCCUUCAUAAGCUGCCAGGAUCUCUUUUUCAGGUGGGGUAUAACAGGCCUUAGCUCUCUUAUAUCUCUGUGUCUGGAACCUCACUGGUCGUCCUGAAGUCUCCCUAGGGAAUUUUUGCCAGAGACUCCAGGAAAGACCAUUCUCCCUAUCUGCAGUGUACAGCAAUUUUUUCACAUGUGCUCCUAUCCAGACUGGCCCAAAUGUUACUGCAUGAAGAAUCUCCUGUUUAGAUAAUUCAAAAGCCUGUUAUUGUUUAGGACCCCUCUUUAAAUUAUUCUUCUUCCAUGUCACAUAAUAUUGAGAGGGCUUACAAUCUGACUGUAAUCUGUAAUAUGCAUCCUCCAGAAACCUGCUAGGAAAACCUGUGCUUGCUUUCUGCUGGUUGGUGGGUACAUAGCUGCUUGUUUGUUUACCACAUCCAUUGGAAUCUGAUGACAUCCUUCUUUCCAUUUUACUUCUAAAAGCUGGAUUUCCUGGUCAGAUUCCUUGAGUUUGCUUUGCUUUAUGGCAAAACUGGCCUUCAGGAGGAUCUGGAUUUGCUUCUCCCCUUUCUCAAACACUUCCUUUGCUGUGUUGCCCCAUACGAUAUCACUGAUGUACUACAAGAGUUCUGGAGCCUCCCCCUUUUUUAGUGCAGCCUGGAUCAGCCUAUGGCAAAUAGUCGGGCUGUGUUUCCACCCAGGGAGCAACAGUCCGUUGUCACUUUUCACUCUCCACUGGGCUUACACAUUGGCCACAUAGGACUAGUAAAGGGUCAGUGAAUUUUGCUGACCACUCCCUGGUGUUGUAUUGCACUAAAUAGUUUAUUUAGUUGUUGCACUGGUGGCGGGUUCCCCCUCCCUCAUCAGAUGGUUUCCCCCUCACACAUCCCCCCUGCACACCUGGUCUGUCUCACAGGUGCUUCGCCCCUCCCCAGUGGUAUCCCAUUGGCUCCGGUUCUCUCUCCCCCGCCCCUCACCCCCUAGGGUAUAAAACCUCCUGUGUGAAAGCUCCAAGCCCUCUUUUUUACCUGGGUGACCCAUCACCUGUGUCCUGCCCCAAGCCAAUAAACAGGAUACUUGCACCCACGUGGAGAAGAGCGCCUCUCUUCUUUUACCUUUGUCUAUGUGGAUCCGUGUGGGCUAGAGUCUUAUGCUAGCCGGAUUUGGACUCAUAUAAGGCCCAGGAAAAACACGGAUUGCCGCACCCUGGCUCUCCAGCUCUCAGAUCAUCUCCUGGAAAGGGGCCACGGAGUCCUGGUUGGUGUGAUAUUGCCAACACUGCACUGUUGUAGUAGCCAUCAGUUCCUGUUGUUCUUCAACCCUCAGCAGUCCCACAGCAAAAGGUCGUCUGAGAGACCAGGCAAGAUCAUCCUUGAGAGAAUACCUUUCCCUGACACUUGACACAAACUGUCUCCAGUGGCUUAAGAGUUUCUGUGCUCUUCUCAAUCCUCUUGUCAAUGACCAUAUUUCAGGACAGAGAUCCCAGCUGCUUCGCUUCACUGCCAUGCAAUUUCAUAUCACAGGCAAUUACAUUCUAGAAUUAAAGCAGCCAGGUCACCAGGGGCUCUCCUGACUAGUGGUUGAAAUCUAUUUGUAUAUCUCACAGCUCACCUGAGGACUGGGAUCAGGUGAUUAUCUCUGGCCCUGCCUCUUUCUCCUGUUCUGAGGGCUUUGCUUCCUCUUCAUCCCUCAUGCAGUGAAUUGAUUACAUGUUGGAUUUCUUUUUCUGUAUGGGGUUGACUGCUAUGGGUUGCUCCUCUGGUUCAGCAGCAGUUUGGGUGGCCAUGGUGCCUGUUGGUCUGCUUUCUUUCUCCACCUCUAGGAAUGAUGAUGUCUACUGUUGAGCAGUGUCCGGUAAACAGUAGCCAGGACAGAACACUGUAACUUACACAGCUGUGUAAGUUUGUCCCUCUCUGGAGCUACUACAGCAUUUUUCUAUGACAUAUGUCAUCACUUUAUCAGAUUGUUAAAGUGAUGUAGUUUUUCACAGGUGAACUGCUAAACCCUUGCAGAAGUCCUCCCAACACUGGCUCGUGUCCUCCUACGUUCCAUGCCACUCAUUACUAUCCCACUUCAGGGCAGAUCUCUUAAUAAACUCUCUAGAAAUCUU